RNAcentral lists this ribosomal RNA (452 nucleotides) under uncultured bacterium. RNAcentral's name for it is "bacterial SSU rRNA". It matches the Rfam family "Bacterial small subunit ribosomal RNA", at positions 8 to 507 of the family's 1533-position model. The record is from RNAcentral.
AGAGUUGAUCAUGGCUCAGAACGAACGCUGGCGGCAUGCCUAACACAUGCAAGUCGAACGAGACCUUCGGGUCUAGUGGCGCACGGGUGCGUAACGCGGGGGAAUCUGCCCUUGGGUUCGGAAUAACAGCGAGAAAUUGCUGCUAAUACCGGAUGAUGACGUAAGUCCAAAGAUUUAUCGCCCAAGGAUGAGCCCGCGUAGGAUUAGCUAGUUGGUGAGGUAAAGGCUCACCAAGGCGACGAUCCUUAGCUGGUCUGAGAGGAUGAUCAGCCACACUGGGACUGAGACACGGCCCAGACUCCUUCGGGAGGCAGCAGUGGGGAAUAUUGGACAAUGGGCGAAAGCCUGAUCCAGCAAUGCCGCGUGAGUGAUGAAGGCCUUAGGGUUGUAAAGCUCUUUUACCCGGGAUGAUAAUGACAGUACCGGGAGAAUAAGCUCCGGCUAACUCCGUG